GACGAACGCUGGCGGCGUGCUUAACACAUGCAAGUCGAACGAUGAACCCGGAGCUUGCUCUGGGGGAUUAGUGGCGAACGGGUGAUUAACACGUGAGUAACCUGCCCUGGACUCUGGGAUAAGCGUUGGAAACGACGUCUAAUACCGGAUAGGACCUUGGAUCGCAUGAUCUGGGGUGGAAAGUUUUUUCGGUCUGGGAUGGACUCGUGGCCUAUCAGCUUGUUGGUGAGGUAAUGGCUCACCAAGGCGUCGACGGGUAGCCGGCCUGGGAGGGUGCCCGGACACACUGGGACUGAGAACCGGCCCAGACUCCUACGGGAGGCAGAAGUGGGGAAUAUUGCACAAUGGGCGAAAGCCUGAUGAAGCAACGCCGCGUGCGGGAUGACGGCCUUCGGGUUGUAAACCGCUUUUAGUAGGGAAGAAGGGCUUCGGCUUGACGGUACCUGCAGAAAAAGGACCGGCUAACUACGUG
This 472-nucleotide ribosomal RNA is filed under the name uncultured bacterium. RNAcentral describes it as "partial 16S ribosomal RNA". It matches the Rfam family "Bacterial small subunit ribosomal RNA", at positions 28 to 507 of the family's 1533-position model. The record is from RNAcentral.